GUUGUCAAUUUUAUUUUUUAGCCAGUAAAGUAGUAAGAAAACCUCUCUUUGAAUCUAAGUUUCCUUCACAGCUGGAUUGAUUCCUUUAACAUUCACUGUUCUACAUUUCCUCUUUAAUCAUCAUUAAACUCAGUUUACUUUUGUGGGUAGUUGCCAAAUCUUGGAUUUUAUACUCAAUACUAUUGUUUCAAGAUAAUCAAACUAAACUAUUUCUGGAGAUUACAGUAUCUAAAGCCUACGCCUUUGAGUUCUACUGAUUCCAUUUCCUUGUUAAAGCUUAUCUUUCCCAGCUACAAGAUUCUUUUUUUUUUUUUUUUCCUUUUCUCUCCUUUCUAUCCUUUUCCCCCUAUUUCUUGUGUUAAUUUCUUUGUUGGGUCCUGGCUGCUGGGUUAAUGAGUUCUUCUGGUGGGUCUUCUUUGUUGUUCUGAACGAAAGGCAGUGAUAAUUAGAGUGUGUGUGGAGAUUUCUUGCUAAGAAAAUGAAGUCACACACUUCACUGCAAUUUCUCUUUGUGAUUUAUCUGGUUAUUUCUGUGACCUGUGAGUCAUUUCCGAAAGAUGAAGUUUGGGCACUAAUAACGUUCAAAGAAGCUAUAUUUGAAGACCCAAUUCUGGUUAUGUCCAAUUGGAACGCCAUAGAUGCAGAUCCCUGUGAAUGGCCUGGUGUUUCUUGUUCUGUUGCUCGUGACCAUGUUGUGAAGAUAAACAUAACUCAGUCUGCUAUCAAGGGAUUUCUUCCCCCGGAGUUGGGUCGGAUUACACACUUGCAAGAACUAAUCUUGCAUGGUAAUAAGCUGAUUGGUUCUAUCCCGAAAGAGCUGGGCAUGUUGAAGUACCUCGAGGUUUUGGAUUUGGGAGUGAAUCAACUAACUGGUCCUAUUCCUCCAGAAAUAGCUAAUCUGAGCAGUGUUAUGAGAAUAAACCUUCAGUCCAAUGGGUUAACAGGGCAUUUGCCCCCUGAACUUGGCAAUUUGAAGCACCUUGAGGAACUUCGGCUGGAUCGUAAUAAACUUCAAGGAACUGUUCCUGCAGGCGGCAAUUCAGAUUUCCCAUCUAAUGUACACGGCAAGUAUGCAUCAAGCACAAAUUCAACUGGCUUGUGUCGGGCAACUCAGUUGAAAGUAGCAGAUUUGUCAUACAACUUUUUUGUUGGGAGUAUACCUAAGUGCUUGAAGUAUCUUCCAAACACAAGCUUUCAAGGGAACUGCCUCCAAAGUAAAGAUCUUAAACAGCGUUCAUUUGCUCAAUGUGGUGGUGCACCACCUGCCAAAACCCAUCAAGCAUUCAACCCUAAGCACCAGCCUUCUGAAGAUGUAGCCAAGCAACAUCAGGAGGCAUCAAAACCAGCCUGGCUUUUGGCUUUGGAAAUUGUAACAGGAACCAUGGUGGGAUUACUUUUCCUUGUUGCUGUUCUAACUGCUUUCCAGAGAUGCAAUAACAAAUCUUCUAUCAUAAUCCCAUGGAAGAAAUCAGCAAGCCAGAAUGACUAUACAGCAGUGUACAUAGAUUCUGAGCUAUUGAAAGAUGUAGUAAGAUUCAGCAGACAAGACCUUGAAGUUGCCUGUGAAGACUUCAGCAACAUUAUUGGUUCUUCUCCAGACAGUCUGGUCUACAAGGGAACAAUGAAAGGUGGGCCUGAGAUUGCUGUUAUAUCCCUCUGCAUUAAAGAAGAACACUGGACAGGCUAUCUUGAGCUCUAUUUCCAGAAAGAGGUGGCAGAUUUGGCAAGAUUAAAUCAUGAGAAUACGGGAAGAUUACUUGGCUAUUGUAGAGAGAGCACUCCAUUUACACGGAUGCUGGUUUUUGAAUACGCAUCAAAUGGGACAUUGUAUGAGCACUUACAUUAUGGAGAAGGAUGCCAGUUAUCUUGGACACGACGAAUGAAAAUUGUAAUAGGCAUUGCUCGUGGUCUCAAAUAUCUUCACACAGAGCUUGAUCAGCCAUUUACCAUAUCUGAGCUAAAUUCUAGUUCUGUAUAUCUCACUGAAGAUUUUUCUCCCAAGAUUCAAAAUCUUUUCACCGUCUGUUACAGCUGGUUGAUUUUGAAAGUUGGAAGAGUAUUCUUUCAAGAUCAGAAAAGAACUCGGGUUCCAUAGGCAGCCAAGGUGCUAUUUGUGUACUUCCAAAUUCUAUGGAGGGACGCCAUCUUGAUGUCCAAGGCAAUGUAUAUGCGUUUGGCGUGCUUCUACUGGAAAUAAUCAGCGGGAGACCUCCUUACUGUGAGGACAAAGGAUGCUUGGUAGAUUGGGCCAAGGACUUUCUUGAAUUGCCAGAAGUAAUGUCUUAUGUGGUGGAUCCAGAGUUGAAACAUUUCACAUAUGAUGACCUCAAAGUUAUAUGUGAAGUGGUAAGCCUAUGCAUCCAGCCGGAACCCGCGAAGCGACCAUCGAUGCAAGAAGUAAGCAGCAUGUUGGAAAGCAAAAUUGACACGUCUGUGUCCCUUGAGUUGAAGGCAUCUUCUUUAGCAUGGGCGGAGCUUGCACUGUCUUCAUGACUUGAGUUGGAGGCAUGAGGCUAAUACACUGUACAUCAGCUAUAUACUUCUGUAAUACUUAAUUUUCUUUUAUAAGCUUAAGAGUUUUAUUUUUGCCCUUGUAAAUGUUAGCGUGGUAAAAGAAAUAGAGCUUCUUGCAUGACUAAGUCUGCUGCCUUAUGUAUACUAUUGAAUGAUGAGUAAAGUUAUUAAUCACCAAAUAUUUGAUUUUACUUGUUA
RNA transcript from Manihot esculenta (cassava), 2712 nucleotides. It is a transcript of the gene named probable LRR receptor-like serine/threonine-protein kinase At1g63430, with no coding region annotated. The record is from RefSeq and is a predicted model, not a curated record. NCBI's taxonomy places the organism in Eukaryota, Viridiplantae, Streptophyta, Magnoliopsida, Malpighiales, Euphorbiaceae. The transcript has 13 exons.